CAACGGAUAUCUUGCGUCUCGCAUCGAUGAAGAACGUAGCGAAAUGCGAUACUUGGUGUGAAUUGCAGAAUCCCGUGAACCAUCGAGUUUUUGAACGCAAGUUGCGCCCGAAGCCAUCAGGCCGAGGGCACGUCUGCCUGGGCGUCACAC
RNAcentral lists this ribosomal RNA (150 nucleotides) under Domeykoa perennis. RNAcentral's name for it is "5.8S ribosomal RNA". It matches the Rfam family "5.8S ribosomal RNA". Rfam says of the family: 5.8S ribosomal RNA (5.8S rRNA) is a component of the large subunit of the eukaryotic ribosome. It is transcribed by RNA polymerase I as part of the 45S precursor that also contains 18S and 28S rRNA. Functionally, it is thought that 5.8S rRNA may be involved in ribosome translocation. The record is from RNAcentral. Lineage: Eukaryota; Viridiplantae; Streptophyta; Magnoliopsida; Apiales; Apiaceae.